Molecule: signal recognition particle RNA, 306 nt
Filed under: Saimiri boliviensis boliviensis (Bolivian squirrel monkey)
Lineage: Eukaryota; Metazoa; Chordata; Mammalia; Primates; Cebidae
Description: Metazoan signal recognition particle RNA (ENSSBOG00000007616.1)
Rfam family: Metazoan signal recognition particle RNA
About the family: The signal recognition particle (SRP) is a universally conserved ribonucleoprotein.
Source: RNAcentral
GCCGGGCACGGUGGCGCAUGCCUGUAGUCCCAGCUACUCGGGAGGCUGAGGUAGGAGGGUCGCUUGAGCCCAGGAGUUCUGGGCUGUAGUGAGCUAUGCCGAUCGGGUGUCCGCACUAAGUUUGGCAUCAAUGUGGUGACCUCCCGGGAGCGGGGAACCAUCAGGUUGCCUAAGGAGGGGUGAACCGGCCCAGGUCAGAAAUGGAGCAGGUCAAAACUCCCGUGCUGAUCAGUAGUGGGAUCACGCUUGUGAAUAGCCACUGCAUUCCACACUCCAGCCUGGGCAACGUAACGAGACCCCGUCUCU